UGGAAAAUAGUUUAAUGGUUAGAAUAUUGGUUUGUCGAAUCAAGGGUUGCAGGUUCAAAUCCUGUUUUUCCAG
RNAcentral lists this transfer RNA (73 nucleotides) under Emiliania huxleyi. Its description in RNAcentral is "tRNA-Asp". It matches the Rfam family "tRNA". Rfam says of the family: Transfer RNA (tRNA) molecules are approximately 80 nucleotides in length. Their secondary structure includes four short double-helical elements and three loops (D, anti-codon, and T loops). Lineage: Eukaryota; Haptophyta; Isochrysidales; Noelaerhabdaceae. The record is from RNAcentral.